ACCAGGAUGGCCGAGUGGUUAAGGCGUUGGACUUAAGAUCCAAUGGACGUAUGUCCACGUGGGUUCAAACCCCCACUCCUGGUU
Non-coding RNA from Eurypyga helias (sunbittern), 84 nucleotides. The record is from Rfam. Lineage: Eukaryota; Metazoa; Chordata; Aves; Eurypygiformes; Eurypygidae.